AAAGUUAUAAUUCACAUGCUUGAAAACAUAUGAAUGGUGAUGUUUGAUCAGACCAAAGCUUCAUGAGAACCACCACUCCUCUUAAUAUUCCUCCAGCAACAGCAAGAGUAUCCCUCUGGGCAGCUAAACCAGGCAACCCCAACUGGAUGGCCUCCAAGGGCAAAUCAAGAAUGGGCUACUUGGAAGUCCCUAAAUAGACUCAGAAGCAGAGUGGGCAGAUCAAAAGACCAUUUGUCAAGAUGGCACUACCUGGAGGAAUCCUCCACCUUGUGUGACUGUGGGGCAGAACAAACAACUCCUCAUGAGUAUGCUUGCCCACAAUGUCCUGCCUCAUGUACGGAGGAGGAGUUGUUUAAAACUAUGGACAGUGCGGUCGCUGUUGCCCGCUUUUGGUCUAAAACUAUUUAGCUGCUUGUGAUUCCUUUAUUUUAUCACUUUUAAGCUUAUUUAUUAUGCAAUGCUUUUGACACAAAAUAAAUAAAUAAAUAAAUAAAUAAAAUCAGACCAAAUGUUUACUUCAGCAUUUUGUCCCCACAAUGGCCAACCAGAAAAGAAUGGAAGAUAACAAGAGGACCGUGAGGAUGAUAACACCCUCCAAUUCACACUUCCCAGGAAUUAAUAUUUAGAUAGCUUCUGAGAUUAGAAAUAUGUGAUCAUCAUUCCUGAACUGGUGAUAUAAAUUUACACUGAUAUGAAUUGGAGGAGAGGGGGGAUUUCCUUAGGAAAGCAUUUCUAACAGGGGGGAUGUGUUCUGAGAGAGCUGAAGGAUCUAGGGAUUACCCCUUCUGAUGUUACGGAGGAUGUGUUCAGACUGUCACAUUAAGCGUGAUAGUUUAAGCAUCAACCACAGUUGUAGAGAGUCUGCCAGACAAAUAAAAAGCACCAAGUCUAAGAAAUGAGGAAUAAAUACACAUACUGAUUUUGCAAGACAGUAUUCUCUCCCUGAAAAUCCUCUACCUCUCUUUGGUGAACAGGAGCUGGUAUUGGGGUGUGUGUGUUGCAGGGCCUGGAAAUCAACUACAGUACAACCACACCCUCUUCAUUUUCAAGUAAUAUUUUAUUUAACAGCUAUUUCCAGGAGCUCAUCUUGUCUUCUGUUGUCUUCUGCGAACAGACAAUUUUCCCAGAACCACACAGUAACAGCUAUGUUCACUGGCUUGCUUCUCUAAUGCUUUAUUCAGAACAGAUUUUUCCAAGGAGAUGCCAAUGUUGCAAACUAUUAACUAGCUUUGAACAGAGGGAAUUCAGAGCAAGCAUCAAACCUUUCAUGUAAAGAUGGAAAGUUUUUGACAAGAUGCUGAUGACCUGCUAUUCCAUGCAAGCACUGUAUCUUUUGACCUUGGUUGUAUUGAGUGUUGUUUAUCUAGACAGGGAUACUGAAAAGAAAUACAAACCCCACUUGUCUACUUUCCAGCAGAUCUCACAACCUCUGAGGAUGCCUGCCAUAGACGUGGGAGAUAAUACUUCUGGAACAUGGCCAUACAGCCUGGAAAACAUACAACAGCCCUGUGGUCCCGGUCAUGAAAGCCUUUGACAACUAAAAUGUUUUUAGGUCGAAUGUUUUUAGGUUGAAUGUUUUUAUGUUGAAUGUUUUUAUAUUGUGGAAUGAUAUUUUAAAUUGUAAGUCGCUCGGAGCACUCUGGUGGAGAGCGACUAAUUAAGAAAUAAAGUGAAGUGAAGUGAAGUGAAGUGAACUCAGUAAAGGUUGCUUGUCACUUCACUUCUGAAAUAUCCUUUUCUAUGCACAACCAUUAAAGAUGAGAACCAUGUCUCUUAUUUUCCUGGCAAUCCCAAUUCAGAAGCAUUAAGAGGAUGAAUACAACUAGUGAUAACAAUUUUGCUUGUCUUUGUUGAUUGAAUAAUCUUUCUUUGUCCUGGAGAAGAAAAGAGGUCAACAUCUGACCCUGUGGCUGUCAUUGAACUUCAUUUCCCAUGAUCCUUCACAUCUGGCUCAAUCUGAUGGAUGUUGCAGUCUAAACAACACCGGUUAGGCUAAAGCUUCUCUCCUCAAGUGUUUUCCAAACUAAAUGAUUGGGUGUCAACUCCCAUGAUUCCUAUCUAUUGACCAUCCUGUGUUGGGAUGAUGGGAAUUUAUGUCCUUUCUCUGCAAACCAAGUGGAAACCUCUGGGCUGUUGAAUGACAGAUGGUGGCAAAAGAGAUGGAGUUCAGGUGGUAGCCUUUAUGUGUAACAUAUACCACAAUGCUAAUGAUGCCAGGAAUUAAAUAGUAAUUAUGGUGAUUAUAAAUUGCAUUUUACAGUUCUGUGCCUCUUGGUGGUCUAAAUAAAAAUGCAACAGGGCUGGUUGUUUUAUGUCUCAAUCCCAUUUUUGACACUCUUCUCCCCAGGUGAGAUAUAUUUUCUUCCUUGGCCAGACAAAUCGCCUCAAGAAAAGGAAACUUGAUCACAUACAGGACCUUGGGAGCAAUGAUGGGGAGUAAUCACUUGGUGCACAGCCAUAUAUUUAUCCUCCUCUGCUGGCCUAGAUCCAGUCAGAAAUGUCAGGCUGUUCCACUGGAAUUGCUGCAGCGGGUGAUCAUUAUUCUACACACAGUGACUCAAGGUGAAACAGGAUCUUGCCAGAACAACAGAUGGAAAACACGGCAGAGGCCGUUCCACUCCGAUGAUGAGCUGCCUUUCCUUUAAAAAGGCUCUGGAGCAGCAGAAAGCAAGCUGACUUCAUCUUCUAUGAGACAUCCCAGCAGACAUUUAAAUAUUGGUAUCAUGUCAGAGUCAUGCAGUUUGAAAACAUGCAAAUGUGAGUAGAUUAAUAGGUACCAUUCUGGCGGGAAGGUAAUGGCACUUCAUGCAUGAUCCUUGUAGGAUCGCAUUACUUGCCUACUAAGCAAUAGACCCUCAGGUAUGCUUUCUCAGGAUUACACUUAGCAUUUUAAGUACUAUACCUGCUGUGUAAUUACCCCUCCCUGAUGACUUGACAUUUUUCUGCACCUUGCCCAGAUCUUUUGAUCAACUCAUGUUUUUAACAUGAUUUUGUAUAUUGACUUUUUAUGAUUGUUUUUAUCCAUGUUGAUGUUUUAUUGUUGGGUGAUUUGUUUAUUGCUUUUGUUUUGAUUUUUGCUGUUGUGUCCAGGCAUAAUAAUAAUAAUAAUAAUAAUAAUAAUAAUAAUAAUAAUAAUAAUAAUACUUUAUUUAUACCCCGCCACCAUCUCCCCAGCGGGGACUUGGGGCAGCUAACAUGGGGCCAUGCCCAAAGCAUAGCCCCAUGUAAGCCGCCCCGAGUCCCUUCGGGGAAAUGGGGCGGGGUAUAAGAAUAAAGUUAUUAUUGUUAUUAUAUUAUCAUGCUGGCCACAUGACCUUGGAGAUGUCUAUGGACAACGCCAUCUUCGCAGCUUAGAAAUGGAGAUGAGCACCAACCCCCAGAGUCGGACACGUGUCAGGGGAAAAGCUUUACCUUUACCUUAUCAUGUCACCUCUCAGUCUUUUCUCCAUGCUAAAUAUACCCAGAUUGCUCAGCCACUCCUCAUAGGGCUUGGCUUCAAACCUUUGAUUAUUUUGGUCGCUCACCUCUGGACAUGUUCCAGCUUCUUCCAGCUAUGGUGCCCAGAAGUCCACACAGUUUUCCAGGAGGAAAAAGAAUACAGUGAUACCACUAAUCCCCUUGAUCUGGAUGCUAUAUUCUUGUUGAUUGCUUGGAGCUGAGCAGGACUGCAGCCAGAAAUUUUGAAUUGAAAAUGGUCUGAAUGUAACAAACAAUGUGUAGAACAAUUAUCUGCUUUACUCAUUAUUAAUUUGCUUUACUAUUGCUGUUAUAUCUUUCACCUUGUGAAUCAUUCAGCUCCAAGGAACUCUAGACAGUAUGAAUAGAGACGAUUAUGACUGGUUUUGGUCCAAAAUAUCCACAACAUGUCAGGUUCCUUGUUUAUGAUCUAAAUGAACAUUUCAUCCAAGUUCUAAAAAUGAUGUUGUCUAACAUUUUUCAGUAACAUGCAUAGAAUCACAAAGCUAUUUGUAAAAAUAAUUAUAAUACUUGGAUGCUUUUUUAAAAAAGAAAGUCAGGGGAUUUUACAGUUAAAUCAUACAGAUGUUAAAACCAAUUAAAAACCUACAAUAUGAAACAAUAUCUUCUCCCACCAGACAGACAGUCAGACAGAUAGACUGAUUUCUAACUUGAAAGAAAUGAACACAGACUUUGGGCUCUAGUUUUUUUUCUUUUAAGCUUAGGAAAUAUAUUGUUUACUUACUCUGAAUGAUUUUGCCCACUUAUAAUACAUGGAAUUACAUCCUGUCAGCAUGGAUUUAAUUUAAGCUUAAUAAGACAUUUCUUCCACAUACUGUUAGCCAAAAUGUCACAUGGUUACUUGGGAGGAAAAGUCUAACUGUAUUGCUGCGAGCUAAUUUUACAGGAUGUUGUGAAACCUGAGUAAAUGUUCCUCACUGUUAUUUAACAUACAGCAAUGCUCACCAUGUCAUAAACUUUUUAAUGUAUUAAA
Molecule: long non-coding RNA, 4450 nt
Organism: Anolis carolinensis (green anole)
Lineage: Eukaryota; Metazoa; Chordata; Lepidosauria; Squamata; Anolidae
Exons: 2
Source: RefSeq, a predicted model, not a curated record